CUUUGGAUGCCCGUUGAUCUUUAUCUGCACAAUUGACAUCAUCCCACAUAUACUCCUCUUCAUCAGAACUCUACCAACUCCGACCCAUCAGCGUAUCACUCUGAUUGGCAAAGGAGUGUGUCGGUUGUGGAUAUGCAUCAGAGUUUGCUGUAUUCUGAGAUAGACUUUGGACUCCAUGCUUAAGGUCCAAGCCAUUUCUUUGAAUUAUCUUACCAUUUGCAAGAUUGUACCAAGAUUUAUCACGUCCCUCUUCCUUUAGCUUUUCACCUGUUAUUCUUAAUCCAAAGCCAGAACCCCUUGACAAAUCAGAAACAUAUUCAGG
This 322-nucleotide unclassified non-coding RNA is filed under the name Hevea brasiliensis (rubber tree). Lineage: Eukaryota; Viridiplantae; Streptophyta; Magnoliopsida; Malpighiales; Euphorbiaceae. The record is from RNAcentral.